UGUCAGCACAUGCCUUAAAAUGGUAAAGCCGCGAAUGGCUCGGUAUAACAGCCGCAGUCUAUUAGACCGUAGUUAUCUACUUGGAUAACUGUGGCAAUUCUAGAGCUAAUACAUGCAAUUAAGCUCGGACCGCAAGGGAAGAGCGCAUUUAUUAGACCAAAACCAAUCGAGUUUCGGCUCGCGUUUUGGUGACUCUGAAUAACUUAGUUGAUCGCACGGUCUUAGUACCGGCGACGUAUCUUUCGAAUGUCUGCCUUAUCAACUUUCGAUGGUAGGUUAUACGCCUACCAUGGUUAUAACGGGUAACGGAGAAUUAGGGUUCGACUCCGGAGAGGGAGCCUGAGAAAUGGCUACCACAUCCAAGGAAGGCAGCAGGCGCGCAAAUUACCCAAUCUCAGAACGAGGAGGUAGUGACGAAAAAUAACAAAACAGUCCACUUUGUGGCCUGUUAUCGGAAUGGGUACAAUUUAAAACUUUUAACGAGUAUCAAUUAGAGGGCAAGUCUGGUGCCAGCAGCCGCGGUAAUUCCAGCUCUAAUAGCGUAUAUUAAAGUUGUUGUGGUUAAAACGCCCGUAGUUGGUUCUUCGGUCUCGAAGCUUGGUAGCUCGUAAGGGCUUAACCGGGUCUUCUGGCCUACACUUUUAGUAUGCUCCCGAUGCUCUUUAUUGAGUGUCUCGAGUUGCUAGAACGUUUACUUUGAAAAAAUUAGAGUGCUAAAAGCAGGCUAUAUGCUUGAAUAAAGUGCAUGGAAUAAUGGAAUAGGACUUUAGUUUUAUUUUGUUGGUUUUCGAAAUUAAAGUAAUGAUUAAGAGGAACAGACGGGGGCAUUCGUAUUGUUGCGUUAGAGGUGAAAUUCUUGGAUCGUAGCAAGACGAACAACUGCGAAAGCAUUUGCCAAGAAUGUUUUCAUUAAUCAAGGACGAUAGUUAGAGGUUCGAAGGCGAUCAGAUACCGCCCUAGUUCUAACCGUAAACUAUGCCAACUAGCGAUCUGUCGGUGUUAAAAUUUGACUCGACAGGCAGCUUCCGGGAAACCAAAGUGUUUAGGUUCCGGGGGAAGUAUGGUUGCAAAGCUUAAACUUAAAGGAAUUGACGGAAGGGCACCACCAGGAGUGGAGCCUGCGGCUUAAUUUGACUCAACACGGGGAAACUCACCCGGCCAGGACACGAUAAGGAUUGACAGAUUGAUAGCUCUUUCUUGAUUUUGUGGGUGGUGGUGCAUGGCCGUUCUUAGUUGGUGGAGCGAUUUGUCUGGUUAAUUCCGAUAACGAACGAGACUCUAGCCUAUUAAAUAGACGAUAUAUUAUUUUGUAUAUAGAGCUUCUUAGAGGGACAAGCAGCUUCUAGCUGCACGAGAUUGAGCAAUAACAGGUCUGUGAUGCCCUUAGAUGUCCGGGGCUGCACGCGCGCUACAAUGAAAAUAGCAGCAUGCGUUACAACCUUUUCUGAAGAGAAUUGGUAAACACGAAAUAUUUUCGUGCUUGGGAUAGGGGAUUGCAAUUAUUGCCCUUGAACGAGGAAUUCCCAGUAAGUUCAAGUCAUCAGCUUGAGUUGAUUACGUCCCUGCCCUUUGUACACACCGCCCGUCGCUACUACCGAUUGGAAGCUCUAGUGAAAACUUCGGACUGACGUCAAAGCGGCUUAACGGUCGCUACGUCGUUGGAAAGACGUUUGAACUGCAGUUUCUAGAGGAAGUAAAAGUCGUAACAAGGUUUCCGUAGGUGAAC
This 1726-nucleotide ribosomal RNA is filed under the name Paramylonchulus mulveyi. RNAcentral's name for it is "SSU rRNA". It matches the Rfam family "Eukaryotic small subunit ribosomal RNA". The record is from RNAcentral. Lineage: Eukaryota; Metazoa; Nematoda; Enoplea; Mononchida; Mylonchulidae.